Ostrea edulis (European flat oyster) is the source of this 1580-nucleotide long non-coding RNA. RefSeq lists it as uncharacterized. Lineage: Eukaryota; Metazoa; Mollusca; Bivalvia; Ostreida; Ostreidae. The transcript is spliced from 6 exons. The record is from RefSeq and is a predicted model, not a curated record.
GUCAAACCAUUUUUAUUCACAAAUUUCGUGAGAAACUUUUUAAAAUAAGACUAUGUGUAGAGUAUAAUCUGAUGCAGAGGGCUGCAGGAGAUAGGACAAUUGGAUUAUGUAAGAUACAUGUACCCACUUCUACCCAAAGCAGCACAUACAAUUACAUAAGCAGUACCUUCGACAGAAAGUUUAUGCCAUGCUUGUUAUAGGAGAGGGUUAUUAACUUGUGACAUAGUGGUAAUUUAGUGAAGUUUGUUCAUAGUGAGAAUAAUAUUACACUUUAGUCUCAUUUGCUGUACUCAUGGUACUUGGAUCUUAGAAACAAUAUUCAAUUUAGCGUGAUUUCCCGACACACAGAUCUACAGGAAAUUACACCAAUCUCAUCGCGCGCUCUAUGCCUCGUGCAGCACGUGCAGAGGACACACUGCGGCAGACAACGUGACACGCCCGCCCUCAUCGUUAGAAGUGGAAAAUGAGGAUGCUUUCAAAUGUCGGAUGGAUAAUACAUAUCGAUAAUGAUACGCUGAAAGUGUCCCUGGUAGUAAGGGGAUUAUUGAUGUUCGGACGCGAUCCAUUUUGUGUGUGUGACGAACUAGGCCUAGAAGGUCAAGCAGAGGGUAACACUCUUUUCGCUUGGAGUCUCCUGCUGACCCUCGUACUGGACAUGAACUUCUUCCAUUCAUGCGUUUUACAGAAACAGAUCAAUAUCAACUUCUCCAUGGCAACGUAAACUUGUUACAAAUUUAUAGAAACAACCACCAAGCGAGAAAAGGAGAAUCGCGGUCGAUUGAGGUCGCCCCACUACAACAGCACUACGGAAUGCAUGACGUUACUACAGUUGUAUAGAAAAAACAAGUGCGCAGCCGCAGUGGCGAUAUUAUCAUAACUCAAGGACCUCACCUAAGAUUCACCCCGAGUGACCGCCAGGAAACUUUUUUUUUCAGAUACGUUAUGUGCAGUAUUGAUGGGAACAGGCAUGCGGAACCCUAAGGAUGAAAAAAUCGUUAAAAAUCUUCAAACACCGAGCAAUACUGCAGCUUAUCAUUGGGAGUGUUUUAAUUUUGUUCAGAUGAAUGAAAAAUACCAUUACAUGCCAUUAAAUUAAUGCUUGUUUGACGAACACGUGUAUCCUUUGAAACAAAGGAAGCGAGAAUAAAAGACUUAUUCAUCUGUACAGAACGGAUUCUUCAAUUAUAAAGACGGGAGGAUGGUAUGAUGAUAAUGAAGAAUGAUGAACUAACACUUAUUUAGAAGUAUAAAAAUUCAAAUAUGGCAUGAUUAUACAUACUGGUCUGGAGGUUAUAAAACUUGUACCGUACUUAUACUCAGUCAUGUUUGUUUUGAGUACAACUCUGAGCAAGCUCCAAGCUUACUCGAAAAAUCCUGAGCUUGUACUCCAUUUCAGUAGGAGAAUGAUUUUAUGAAAGUUUUAUAAACUUCACUUUUGAGAAUGAGUACGAUUUAGAGCACGGAAUUUGAGUUUGAGUAUGAAAACGUGCUCAAAAAAGGUUUUAUAACCCCCAGGCCAGGACUGUAAUAUGAAUUUUGUAUUUCAUUACUGCCUAAAACCUCCAACUGUUACACGCACC